GAAAUGCGAUAAGUAGUGUGAAUUGCAGAAUUCAGUGAAUCAUCGAAUCUUUGAACGCACAUUGCGCCCUUUGGUAUUCCUUAGGGCAUGCCUGUUCGAGCGUCAUUUAAACCUUCAAGCUCAGCUUGGUGAUGGGUGACUGUCCCCCCCUCGCGGGGGGACUCGCCUCAAAAACAUUGGCGGCCGGUACAUUGGCUUCGAGCGCAGCAGAAACGCGGUCUCGAGCCCGGUGGAUCGGCUCCCACAAGCCUAUUCUUUUAUUUUGACCUCGGAUCAGGUAGGGAUACCCGCUGAACUUAAGC
RNAcentral lists this unclassified non-coding RNA (302 nucleotides) under plant metagenome. Its description in RNAcentral is "partial contains 5.8S ribosomal RNA, internal transcribed spacer 2, and large subunit ribosomal RNA". The stretch from base 1 to 105 matches the Rfam family "5.8S ribosomal RNA", at positions 50 to 154 of the family's 154-position model. The record is from RNAcentral.